This 116-nucleotide ribosomal RNA is filed under the name Esox lucius (northern pike). Lineage: Eukaryota; Metazoa; Chordata; Actinopteri; Esociformes; Esocidae. The record is from RNAcentral.
GCUUACGGCACACCUCCCUGAGCACGCCCGAUCUCGUCUGAUCUCGAAGCUAAGCAGGGUCGGGCCCGGUUAGUACUUGGAUGGGAGACCGCCUGGGAAUCCAGGUGCUGUAAGCC